RNAcentral lists this long non-coding RNA (333 nucleotides) under Anser brachyrhynchus (Pink-footed goose). RNAcentral's name for it is "lncRNA (ENSABRG00000013588.1)". Lineage: Eukaryota; Metazoa; Chordata; Aves; Anseriformes; Anatidae. The record is from RNAcentral.
UGCAUCUCCAGUACUGGUUGCUGCCCGAUGUCUUAUAUCAGGUGUCAGAGACCUGUUUGAAUACUUAGAAGACUCUACUGCAACGUAGUUAUUCCAGCUCCUCAGGACUCCUAUUUCUUACCUCUGUCUCUCUGAGUUAAGAGAGAAUUCAUCUGACAGACUGCACAGCUCUUUUAUCUCAGUCAUUGCCUUGAACUGAUUCAGAGCCUAUUCCAGAUGAACCAGUGCCAAUAAUCCAACCUACUUCAACUGUGGGAAGGUUAGAACCUCACUGAAAGAAAAAGUGUCUUCCUUGGUAAGGUUCCAAAUGUCAGUUAUUAUAUGUAUAUAGUA